Molecule: ribosomal RNA, 443 nt
Filed under: uncultured soil bacterium
Lineage: Bacteria
Description: bacterial SSU rRNA
Rfam family: Bacterial small subunit ribosomal RNA
Source: RNAcentral
AGAUUGAACGCUGGCGGCAUGCUUUACACAUGCAAGUCGAACGGCAGCACGGGGGCAACCCUGGUGGCGAGUGGCGAACGGGUGAGUAAUAUAUCGGAACGUACCCGGAAAUGGGGGGAUAACGUAGCGAAAGUUACGCUAAUACCGCAUAUGCCCUGAGGGGGAAGCGGGGGAUUCGUAAGAACCUCGCGUUUUCGGAGCGGCCGAUAUCGGAUUAGCUAGUAGGUGAGGUAAAGGCUCACCUAGGCGACGAUCCGUAGCUGGUCUGAGAGGACGACCAGCCACACUGGAACUGAGACACGGUCCAGACUCCGUACGGGAGCAGCAGUGGGGAAUUUGGACAAUGGGACGCAAGCCUGAUCCAGCCAUGCCGCGUGAGUGAAGAAGGCUCGGGUUGUAAGCUCUUCAGUACCGGAAAGAAACGACGUAACGGUUAACUAACC